RNAcentral lists this ribosomal RNA (478 nucleotides) under uncultured bacterium. RNAcentral describes it as "bacterial SSU rRNA". It matches the Rfam family "Bacterial small subunit ribosomal RNA", at positions 968 to 1447 of the family's 1533-position model. The record is from RNAcentral.
ACCUUACCAGCUCUUGACAUCUUCUGACAACUCUAGAGAUAGAGCGUUCCCUUCGGGGACAGAAUGACAGGUGGUGCAUGGUUGUCGUCAGCUCGUGUCGUGAGAUGUUGGGUUAAGUCCCGUAACGAGCGCAACCCUUGUUGUUAGUUGCCAGCAUUAAGUUGGGCACUUUAACGAGACUGCCGGUGAUAAACCGGAGGAAGGCGGGGAUGACGUCAAAUCAUCAUGCCCCUUAUGAGCUGGGCUACACACGUGCUACAAUGGAUGGUACAACGAGCAGCGAUCCCGCAAGGGCUAGCUAAUCUUUCAAAGCCAUUCUCAGUUCGGAUUGCACUCUGCAACUCGAGUGCAUGAAGUCGGAAUCGCUAGUAAUCGCGAAUCAGAAUGUCGCGGUGAAUCCGUUCCCGGGUCUUGUACACACCGCCCGUCACACCACGAGAGUUUGAAACACCCGAAGUCGGCCGGCCAACCCUAUGGG